GAACGAACGCUGGCGGCGCGCCUAAUACAUGCAAGUCGAGCGAGAAGACGUAGCAAUACGUUUGUAAAGCGGCGAACGGGUGAGGAAUACAUGGGUAACCUACCCUCGAGUGGGAGUAACUAGCCGAAGGUUAGCUAAUACCGCGUACGCUCCUUGGACUUCGGUUCAGGGAGGGAAAGGACGAUACCGUGGGUAGUCGCGCUCUUGGAUGGGCGUCAUGUCCUAUCAGCUUGUUGGU
Molecule: ribosomal RNA, 238 nt
Filed under: uncultured bacterium
Lineage: Bacteria
Description: partial 16S ribosomal RNA
Rfam family: Bacterial small subunit ribosomal RNA
Source: RNAcentral